UGGCUCUCGCAUCGAUGAAGAACGCAGCGAAAUGCGAUAAGUAAUGUGAAUUGCAGAAUUCAGUGAAUCAUCGAAUCUUUGAACGCAACUUGCGCCCUCUGGUAUUCUGGAGGGCAUGCCCGUUUGAGUGUCAUGUGGAAUCAACCCUCCGGGUUUCCGGAGAGGUUGGAAUUGGGUGUUGCCUUACUGGCUCACCUCAAAUGCCUGAGUGGGGACUGGCCCAGCCGGGAGUAAUAAGUUUCUCUCUUCUGUGUGUCAUGUGGACCGCUUACAACCUCAUCUUUUUGACUCUGACCUCAAAUCGGGUAGGGCUACCCGCUGA
Molecule: unclassified non-coding RNA, 322 nt
Filed under: uncultured fungus
Lineage: Eukaryota; Fungi
Description: partial contains 5.8S ribosomal RNA and internal transcribed spacer 2
Rfam family: 5.8S ribosomal RNA (bases 1-133)
Source: RNAcentral